AUAUAGUGGAAAGCUACUUUGUUUUUUGAGGUGGGAUAUUUGUUAUGGACUAGGGUUUGGACAGUUAGAAACUCUUCAUUGGUUAAAGGGUCAAGUGGAUGUUGGCGCAAUGGCGGCUUUACAGAGACCACUGCUUGGAAGUAGAGGAGUGUAAGAACUGAGAAAAGAGCUAGUUUCAUGGUGGUGGAAGCCACUGUGAGCUAUAGCUAGCUUCACUGGCUUGAUGUAUGUUUGUGUAUGUGAAAUGGAAGCUCCCCAAGGUGCCCUUAAAUAACAGAUUGCAAACACUAUCUCCAAGUGUAUGUUUGGAGUAUAGUGUCAUGUAAUAUGAUCAGAUAUGAUAACAUGUGAUUUUUUUAAUAGAUUACAUAUUUCGGAUUCCACUUGUGUAACAUUGACCAUUUUAUGGUAUAUAACAUUGCCCAAUCAGGGUGUGCCACGUGGCACCUUUUUUUAAAAUAAAAAAAAAAUCAAAUUAGAAAACACUUGAGAGUAGAACUGCAAUAGAAAACACGCGCCAUUUCUUUCAACUUCCUCCUUCCACUUCAAAACAAACUCACUCACCAUCAUCAUCAGUUUUCCGUCCACCGUCGAUCGCCGCUGCUGCCUCCGCCGCCGUCAACCUGCUAUGAAUGCGUCAUCAUAAGGUUUUUUUCUUUUUUCUUUUUCUUUAGAAUGAUUGAAUGUUCAUAGAAAUGAGAUUAACCCAUAAAAAAAACAAAUUUUCUAUGAAAAUAGAGAAUAACAACACUUGAUCAAGAAGAUAAAAUAAUCGUUUUUGAACUAGUUUCAAUUUAUUAGGAUUUGAUUUUAGGAAAUUUAGGGUUUUAUUUAAGGAUGUAUAGAACCCAUUGCAUCCAUAAACUCUGUUUCUUUUUUUAAAAAAGCUUGACUCAUGUUGUUGUUGUUUUGAAAUAGGCAAACGGGAUUGAUUGACCCUUGAAUUUUUUUGUUCUUAUCAUUCAUUCUGUUUUAAUGUUUUCUUUCUUAAUGUUUUGUAUGAAUUAUUGUUUAUGCCUUAUGUUCUUUAUUUUAGUUUUAGGUUCCUUGAAUAGUUUGAUCAAAUAUGGCAUCUUCAGAUGUUGAUUGGAAACCAAAGAUUGGAAUGAAAGAUUGGAAACCAAAGAUUUUUAGAUUCAGUGAUACUCCCUCCGUCCUAAAUUAUAAGAAAAAAACCAAAAAUCACACUUAUUAAGAAAACUAAAGCAUAAGAAUUUGUAGCAUAGUUUUGUGUUUUCUUUGGAAUAAGUUUCAUGGGAAGAUGUAAAAACAAUUUUCAUUGGCAAUUGGUUAUGAAAAAAAUAAAAGAGAGAAAAUUAAAUGUAAUUUGCAUUUAAUUUCAUGAGAAUAAGAAAAAGUUUUUAUUGGAAAAGAUGAUUUUUUAAAAAACAAGAUUAAAUAGAAUAAAAGUUUGUCUUUUAUGCUUAUAUUUUGGGACAAAGAAAAUGAGUUUUUUUUACUUAUAUUUCAAGACGGAGGGAGUACUUGUUUAUGUUGCCUCGCAGUAUUUAGUGAAUGAAGUAUUCUGAACAUUAGUAAUUAAAUUUCAUGGCAGCAUUGGUGCAAUUUUAGUCUCAUUCACUUGCAAUAAAAGCUUUUACUUCCUUUUAAUUAGAUUCCACCAUAUGAUUCACUGAUGCACUUUUCUUUUAUACUGCCAUGAUUUUACAUGUAUCUUAGUUUAAUUUUACAUAAUCAUUUUAGGUUAAAGAAUUAACAAGUCAUAUGGUUGAUGGAGUAUCUUGUUCUGCACCUCCAACUUAUGCGCCCCCACAAGCACAUGAGGAUCAAUUCAAUUACACAGCCAUGCUGAUGGUAAUUUCAAAAACAAAUUCAUAAGGAACUAUACAUACAUUUAACAUGUAUCGUGAUGCUAAUUUUUAAGUUGUUAUUAAUGUAGGCACCUCUUGACGAUACAAAUAUUGGAGCAUUGUAUUGAUUGACCUCUAAUCUACAUCAAAAGAAAUGGAGUUGUUGCUUGUUUCAACGGGCUGUUCUCAUCUGUUUUUCUGGUUCGGCAUGUUGCAGGUUGUUUUCUGCUGUUCAGGCACGGGUUUUUCUGGUUCGGCAUGUUGCAGGUUGUUUUUUGGAGCAUGGGAACUGUGUUUUUGCUAUUAAAACCACUUAGUAGUGUUAUUUUGGCUUCUGUUAAUGUGCUGUCUUAGGAUUGUGCAGCCACGCCUCUGCUAAGUUGUUAUAGCCAGGGGCGGAGCUAUAUGUCUUUUAGGGGAUGCAAGUGAACCCCCUGAACCUAUAAUAUUACACAGAUUAUUCCCGUUUAAUACAAUUUGAACCCCCUGUAUUUAUUGUAUUGCACCCCAUGCCCAUCUCAAAGAUAUAUUUUUCUCUUCAAGUUUAGUUUACUUUUAUACUUCACGUGAGGCUGUGAUUAUGUUUAUGAUCAAUAACUGUCUAUUAUUGAUGAUAUUCACCUUCUAAAUUUUAUAAGUUAGUUGAUAGGUAGGUAAUAAAUGAUCCUUGAUAAAAUUAGUAGUUGUUGUUAAACUUGUUAAUAAGUUAACUAAGAGCUUAAAAGAUAACAAAUUUAAUUUGUAGUGGUUGAUAAAAUUAACAGUUGAGCUUAUAAACUCGCGAUUUAAAUAGCUUAUAAAAACGUUAUAAGUUAGUAAAAAUUGUUAUGAGCUCGUCAGAAAAAAUUGUUAUUAAAUAAGUCUAAUUUGAUCAUAGGAGCUCAUAAGCUAUUAAAAAAAAAAAACAGUUCGGUGCAUUAAAGCUCACACAUACGUAGGAAAGUUGACCUCAUAAGUUAUAAAAAAUUGUCAAAAAAAAAAAAAAGAAGCUAUAAAGCUAAUGAGGUCACGUGACAACAACUUUUCUAUUGCAUCGAAGCUUCCCACAUAAGCUAUAAAGCUGAAAAUUGACCUUAACAAAAUGAGUCAUAAUCCCGCACCCCUGAUAUAGGGUCCUGACUACGUCACUGGUUAUAGCAUCAGAUUUAGUUCCCCAUGGUGGGUAUUUUUUGGGGUUUGUCCCAUUUUUUUCCUACUGAAUUAUAGCAGUAGUGUUGUUAUAGCAGCCUCUGCCAUACAUUGACUUUGUAUUUUGAAUGGAAUAUACAAUAUUGUGCUAGCCUAAUUGUGUUAUAACAACCUCUGUCAUUUGUUCGUUUCUAUUUAUGUGUUUUUUUUGCUUGUUGAGUUGUUUCAAUUGCACAUCAAUAUUGAAUUGAAUAUUGGUUUCCAUUGAUGUCUUUGUAACAUUACACUUCAUCAUAUUGAACAUUUUUAGCACCUCAUUUACAUAAUUUCUUUCAUGUGGAAUGGUUUCCCUUUCGGCUUUCACAAGUUUCCUUCCAAGAAAGUAUGACAAUUAUUCUAUAUUAGCAUUUCAAACUCAGACUUCACACAUUUUCAAGCCAUAGGUACAUGCUUCAAGCCAUAAAGAGCAUUCUUCAUAACAGAUGCUCAGUUUCACGCAGACUAAUAGCAGCAUAUUGCGUUUUUCCGCUUAUGCAUUUUCACAACAGAUGUUCAGUUUCACAUAUUUUCAAUUUCACCAUAGCAUAGUAACAAUAGCAAUUCGUUUUUGAGAUUUCACUGGUUUCUACUCACGUGUUUUCUAAUUCUCGUUUAAUUGAUUUUUUUCUUAAAAGGUGUGCCACGUGGCACACCCUGAUUGGGCAAUGUUAUAUACCAUGAAAUGGCCAAUGUUGCACAAGUGGAACCCACAUAUUUCUAUGUACUAAGAAUAUGUUAGCCACAUUUGCUUUUAAACAAUUACUCCAUCCGUUUUAAAAUAUAAGCAAAAUUCAUUUUUUAGGUUCAUUCAUUUAAUGAUGUAUGUGGUUCAUAUAUGGACCACAUACAUCAUUAAAUUAAUGAACCUAAAAAAUGAAUUUUGCUUAUAUUUUGAAACGGAGGGAGUACUUUUUUAUUACAUGAAAUCAAUGUAUAUCCUAUCGUUUUAAAUAAGUUAUGUUUUUUAAGUGUAGACUCAAAAUGAUUUAAACCAAUAAAAGAAUGAUUAUUAAAUAAAAUGUUGAAUAACAAUUUGGGGGACAACUUAUUUGACAACCAAAAUAUCCAAAGAAAAAUAGGUAUUGACACAAAUAUCAAAGCAAAAGAGAGAGAAAGUAAAAACACAAUAUGUAAGUAUGAGAGAAAAAUUUGUUACAAAAUAACCGUACAAAUAUCAUUUCUCUUUCUCUUUUCUUAUAGUUUUCUGCUCGUAUUAAAUCACGUGGUUUUUUUUUUGUUGAACAACGACAACCAUAUCCUUUCCCUCUAAAUGGAUUAUUCACUUAAUUUUUUGUCACGUAAUUUUGAAAUAAAUUCUUUACUUGAUACUUAAAUUUUUUUAAAUUAACUUUAUAUAUAAUAUAUAGCAUUUAUAUUUAUAAAGAAACAUCAAAAUAUUAUUUUUACUAAUUCUUAAUUUUUUAACUAAAUUAAUGACCAAUUUUAGAUAACAAAAAAAUUAUCUGCCACCAAUUUUUGUUGUUGGUAAAUUUAUUAAGAAAAUAAAAAAGAAAUUUCAUAUAUUAUUUGCUUAGUUGGGAUUUCACCGGUUUCUUUUAGCAAACACGUGACAAACUCAAUUAUUUGUCCCGUUAGUGAAGCCUACAACACACAUGUUGGUGUGAACUCAUAUAGGUCCAUACAUUAGAUUGUAAAAUACUAAUGACUAGUAACCAUCUUCGAGCUGGUUUGUACUAUGUACUGUUUAGUAGUCUCAUCGGAGUGAAAACUCAUAUAGGUCCAUACAUUAGAUUGUAAAUACUAACAAAUCACAAAUAUAAUUUUAUCUUGGAAAUGUGCAUUCAACAUAUGAUUUUAAUAGCAAAACACUGAGGUACGUGUGCAUGCAUGCAAUACAAGAUUUGAUUUGCCUUUUAGUGUCAGUCUAGUGAGCAGGUUUAUGCAUAACCCUAGAGUGUCAGUCUACUGAGCUACCAAUUGAGUGAGUUCGAGAUCAAUACUAUUGAAUUGAAUGCACCAUGUUCUAACAUUUGUAAGUUGUAGUAGUAUUUACAAACUUUAAUUUCCUAUGGUUGCUCAACCGAUCAUAAUCAUGUCAAUAUCAUACCUUUCCACUUUAGUAGUAGAUCACUCCCAACAAUAAAAACAGAUAGUGCAGUUUAUCAAGGUAUAAUAACAAAAAUCAGCUUGCAAAAUAAAUCUUCCAUCCAUUUAUUCAUUCAUUCAUUCAACAUGUAACAAACAAAUAAACAAACAACAUUUAUUCAUGGGUUCCACAAUAAAUACAAAUAAAUUGCACAGGCUAGCUAGUUUUAAUUGGAGCAACCCCAGGCCAUGGAACAUCUUUUGGAGAAAGUAUUUUAAGAACAUGAUUCCUCUCAAAGAAAUUAGAUGGCCUCAACUCAAAUCGAGUGCUCAAUAGUGGCAUUAUGGGGAAAUCUUUCUGUGCUGGAACAUGAUGAAUUCCAACUACAUGCCACAUCACAAUGUCCUUGUUCACAAUGUCUCUAUUCCUGCAAAAAUUCCAAAUUAAUUAGUAUAAUAAUAAUUGCAAGUUCACCUGGGCCAAGCUCAAUUGUGAUUUUUGCAUGAUAGUGCUAUUUGCAUGGUGAGUUUUUGCAUGGUCCAAUUGUAAAAUUUCCCAAUGUUAGGCUCAUAUAUCUUUACCAACUGGAAUCUGUAAUUUCCUGGUUCAGUGGUAUCUAACCGAUUAUGUACAUCAAUAUUUUAUUUUUUUACACAAAUGUCAACAAAUAAAAAAUGGAACAAAAUUCCUCUUUUAGAAGGAAAAUAUAGCGUCAGUUUUCAAACUAAAUAAUUCUUUGUCAAUAAUAUAUAUUUAUAUAAACUGAAAAAAAUAUUACUUUUUUUUUCUCGCUAAGACAUAAAAUCCACAUAAAUUAAUCCCCGUGAGCUUAGCUCAGUUGGUAGGGAUAUUGCAUUUUAUAGCAGGGGCUGGGGUUCGAACCCCGGACACUCCAUUUCUCCACAAUUAAAUUGUGUGAGCUCUAGCCAUUAUGGCUACUUGACAAAAAAAAAUCCACAUAAAUUAGUUAUACAAUAGAUUUUUCGUCCCGAAAAAUAUAGUGAAUUUUAAUUUUAAUUUCUAAAAGACAGCAAAAUAUUUUUAUCCUAACAAAAAGUUUUUUUUUUUUUUUGUUUUUAGGUCAAUUUAUGUUCAUAUUAAUGUCAAGAUUAUCACUCUUUUAUGUUCAAGAUGUAUCCACGUAUGUCUAUUUAUUAUGUUCAACAUUUGUAUGUCCGUAUUAUGCUAAAGAAAUGUCAAACACGUGUCAAGAUUAUAUUUAUGAAGGAAAAAUAAACAAAACGAUUUUUUUUUUAGAAUGAAAAUAUUUUGUUUUAAUUUUUUAGAAUAGAAUCAAAAUUGCUUAUAUUUUUAGAGACAAAAAACUUAUUUAACCCUUAAUAAUAUUUAUGAAAGACACCUAGAAAAAUAUUUAUGAAAGAUACAACAAACAAUAUUGUUUGUGUUAGCCCUUCAGUUCUUGGGGAAAGAGGGCUCUAAUAAUCCGAAGUUUAGACAAAUGUAAGUAAAGUCUGAUCUAAAAUUGUUGAUAUACCCAGAAAUCAAAUUUAAAUUCUUUUAUUAUUAACCACUUGAAUUCAAUUACUUGAUUUUUUCUUUCAACUCAAAAUAAUAAAUAAAAGCUAACAGUGUUAGUAUUGAAAAAGUCAAAACAUAAUUCAAUAACCACAAAUUCAAUUAUAAAUGUGCGAUAUUUCAAUUUUAUAUUUUUAAAUCUAUAUAAAUUGUGCGUUAAAACAAAUGCAUAUAAAUUUAGGUCACUUAAUAUUUAAACCUUACAAGUUACCUCUUUCAAAAACAAAAAUAAAAAAACCUUACAAAUUACAAGUCAAUAAGACAAAACAAUCCUAGCCAUCCCUAUUAAUUUAUAUUAAAUAAGUGGUUGAGUUUAGAUGAGUCUAAGAUGGAGAAAUUUUACAAUUUCCCCAUACUAAACGUCGCCCUAUCCGCAUAUACAUACAUAAAUUUUGAAAAAUCAAUAAAGUUAUUUGAGUCCAAGGACAUAACAAUUGACAAGUCAAGUGGGGUAUGUCGCCAGUUGACAGUUGUCGUCUUGGCCUUAUGCUAAAUAUAGUAAUACACACGUGUUUUUUCAGUUUAAAUAAAAAUAAUAAUACACGUGAAGUGGGACCUUUUGUUUUGUUGAAAUUAAACCAAAAGAGACUUCUAAAUUCAAAUCGUUUAGAUAAAUUUCUUAGCCGUCUAGCAUAUUUUUUUGUUUGUUACAAAGCUGAAAUCAAACAACAAAGGGAGGACAGAGAGAAAAACGACUAAAUAGUCAAUUAUCCCUUUAAAAUUGUAAGUUUCGUCAAUUAUUCUUCUGAAAUUGCACAACGUUAAUCAAUUUACCCCAUCCGUCAAAUUUUUCUGUUAGUAAACAUGACGUUUUGCAAAUACCCCUUAAGUUUUACACUUAUGUACAAAAUGCCUCCCGAACUUGAAAAUUUAUAUAUUUUUUUCUUUAUCCUUAACUCAAAGAUAUUAAAUACAAGCAAUUAACACUUAACUUUAAUACUUUACAUGACUCUUUCAUUCUUAAAGGGAUCUGUUAUUUUAUUUUGUUUAUGUUAUGUCAUUUGGUUGUUCAAUUCUCCAUAAAUUAUGACUUAUUUAGAUAGAGACACGCCAAUUCACAACAAAGUAAGUAAGCUAGAGACACUCAUUCCUCAUGACUAAUUAAUUCUAACAUUUUCUUAAGAUAAGUUUGAAUAAAAUUAUUUUAUCUUAAAAAUUGAACUAAACAUGCAUUUUGCUAAAGUAAUAUGAAGUUAUUAAUUAUGCGUUAUUUUUAGAGGAUAUAUUCUUAUUUUAAGCUUAAAUAUUAAAGUUAACCGUUAAUUGUUUGUCUUUAAUAUCUUUUGAAUCAAGAUAAGAAAAAAAUAUAUAAAUUUUUAAGUUUGGGGAGCAUUUUGCACAUAAGUGCAAAACUUCAGGGGGUGUAUUUGCAAAACUUCAUGUUCACUGACAGAAGAAUUUGACGAAGGGGAUAAAUUGAUUAACGUUGUGCAAUUUCAGGGGGGUAAUUGACGUUUUAUUAAUUUCAAAGGGGUAAUUGACGAAACUUACAAUUUCAGGAGGGUAAUUGACUAUUUACUCAAAGAAAAACAGAUAAAAAAGCAACUCAAGCUCUUGAGAAGAUAGUUCCCAUAGCGUCAUUCCUAAGUAUGUCGAGGAGAUCAUGAGGAGGGGACGGAUGGGCAAAGAAAUCAGAAUUGGAUGUAGCUCCUAUAAAUCUAACAUGUUAGUACAAAACUUAAAUUCUAAAUUUAACAUUUAAUAUGUCAUAUGCUUAUUUUGUAAAGGUGAGUUUUAACUUUUCAAAAGUUUUAUGUGACUUUUUUUUUUACAAAUAAAAUUUGAUAUGACUUGUUAAUUGAUUUAAAAAUCUUUUUAAAAUCAAUGUAUUUGAACAUUACUAUUAGGAUUGGGAAUAGGCUAGGUCGGCCUACAGGGGUCUAUGGCCUGGCCUGUUUAAGUCUGGCCUGAUCUAUUUAUUAAAAAGGCUAGACUUAGGCUUUUUAAAAAGUCUAUUUAAGUAAAUAGGUCAGACUUAUGCUAUCAAAAAAGCCUAUGAAGCCUAAUAGGCCGGCCUGUUUAUGCAUGUUAGGCUUCAUAGUGGACUUUUAAAAUAGACUUUAAAGCUUUAUAGUGAAAUAGGCUUUUAAGGCCUUAUAGUAGUGAUAGACAAGUCUUACACUGAAAUAGGUUUUGAGGCCUAUUAAGCCUAUUUAAAAGUAGAUAAAAUGAAAUGUUUAGUGACUUUAAUAGUAAGUAGGCCUGUAAAUAGGCUUUCAGGCCAAACCAGACUUUUAAAUAGGACAGACCAGGCCAAAAAAAUAGGCCUAUGAAAGGUCAUAGGCCAGGCUCAGGCCUGCAAAUUUUUUCGUUGGCCAGGCUCAGGCCUAUCAAAGCCUGGCCUGGCCUAUUCCCAACCCUAAUUACUACAUCCGUCCUUAAUUAUAUGACAAUUUUGUCAAAAUUCUCGGACUUAAGAAAGUUGAUGGUAAUAUUAAAUUUGUAUAUAAUUAUUAUAGUUUUUACAAUUUUAUCCUUAAGAGAAAGAGUUAGUUUAUGUUUUCAACAUAAUAUUUAUUGUUGAUUGAAGAAAAAGAUGUAAAAUAAAUAAGGGUAUGUUGGUAAAGAAAUAACUAAUGUAAUUGAAAAUAUCAAUUGUAUCUUAUAAAAAGGGACCAAAUUUUUAUAUCAAAAGAGUCUUAAAACGGGGUAGUAUAUGUUUAAAUUGAUUAACAAACUAAUAAACCAAUAAAACAAUGAGAUUAAUUCCCUUUUGUUAUUUAACAAGACAUUUUAGAGAUUGUUAUUUUACAAGACAUUUUAGAGAAUUUGAAUAUAUAUAUAUAUAUAUAUAUAUAUAUUUGUGUGUGUGUUGUUUGGCAUAUAAGCCCAAAAGAUUUAUUUAAUAAGCCUAAAAGAUAUUUUAUAAAUCAUUGCUUGACAUUUUUAAUUAAGGGUCUUGUUAACUUGUAUUUUUAUGAAACAUGUUUUUUUUGUUACACUUUUAUGAAACAUGUUAAGGAUUCCAUAAAUGAUAAAUAUUUAUUAAAAAAUAUUAAUUUUCAAUCUUUAGAAGAAUAAAUAGAAACAAUUUCCUAAACAAAUAUUUUUAUUAGGUUCUUUAACAUGUGCUUUAAGAGCAUAAAUUACCAUUUCCCUUUAACAAAGGGGAAUGCUAAGGACAAUUGUUAAGAUUAAAGUAAAAACUUUAUAUUUAGAAUUGUAUAACAAGACAAUGAAACACAAAAAAGCAACUUUUUUAACAAAAAAAUUAUCAAUUAUUUCUACUUUUUAACCUUUAACAAGUGUCUUAGCAUAACCAUUUAACUGAAUAAACUUCUAAAAAGGUAUUGGUUAUUUUAUUUAAAAAAAAGUGAAAGAAGAAUACGAAGAGUUUUUUUAAGGAAAAUAAUUAUGAUUAAAAGGAAAAUGUAGAAUAAUAUAUUUAAGAAAAAUGUUAAUGAUUAUCUCCAACACUCUUUUUUUUUUAUGGUGGCCGGGGAUUGAACCCCGAACCUUACAUAUAUUAUUCAUUGUCCUUAGGGCUGACAAUGAACCGAACCAACUCGAAAAUAGUUCGAAACUCGAUUUGGUUAUUGAUUUUUUUGAACUUGAUUCAUGAACCAAAUGAGUCGAACUUGAGUCGAAAAUUAAGCUCGUCAAAUAAAUGAGCCGAACUUGAGCUAUGAAUAGUUCGACUCGUUUGGUUCACGAGACAACUCGAUAUAUAUAUAUAUAUAUAUGUUUGCUAAAUCAAUUACAAUAAUUUUAAAUGAAAUGUUAUUUCUACCUUUUUUGUCAAAGUUUUUUAUCAUACCACUUUAACAAUAUAAACUANAGAGAGAGAGAGAGAGAGAGAGAGAGAGUGGAAGGAUCAAAUUACACUAACGUAAUGUUACACCGCUCAAUAUCGUUUUACCCAAUUAAUAUUUUCAAAAUUUGACAUUUAGAUUGUAAGUUUAUAUCAUUCUCUCAAAAAAAAAAGUUUAUAUCAUAUAAUCGUCCAUGUAAAUUUUUAUACAAAUCUAAAAUCAUUUGAAAUGUUAUUGAGACUCAUCAAAAUUAACGGUUUAUGGGUUUUUAUAGAACAUCGUUAAUCUUGUUGAUUAUCAAAAACAUAUCAAAUGAUUUUAGAUUUGUAUGAAAUUUUACAUGAAUCAUCUAUGUGAUAUAAAAUUACAAUCUAAUGGUUAAAUUUUAAAAAUAUUAAUCGAGUAAAACGAUAUUGAGCGGUGUAACAUUACGUUGAUGUAAUUUGAUCCCUCCUGAUAUAUAUAUAUGUUUGCUAAAUUAAUUACAAUAAUUUAAAAUGAAAUAUUAUUUCUACUUUUUUGUCAAAGUUUUUUUUUAGAGGCCUGAUGUCAAAGUUUUUUAUUAUACCACUUUAACAAUAUAAACUAAAAAGUCCACUUAAGUAAAAACAAUGUUAAUGCUCACAACGAUAAUUUAGAUAGAGAAGUGUAUGACAUAAUCCAUGUACACUUGAUAGAUUUAAGCUUGUUUGUCCAGAAAAAGUUAAGCGCACUUUCAUGUCCCACAUCGGUUGUUUUAUGAUCGAUACAAAGCAAGUGAUCUAUAAAAAGAGGCGUGCACAGUGAUGCAAAAUGGCAAUGGAAUUACAGGAAUAUUAAUUAAUUAAUUUAGUUAAUAAUGUUGUUAUCCAUUUACUUAAGUUGUUUUUAGUCAAUUAUCUGGUUUAUGAGUUGUUUUUGUGCUCAUUUAAACCAUAGUCUUCUUUGUCUCUCUCUUGGUUCAUCGAGCUAUUGAGCUGCACCGAGUUGUUCGCGAGCUUGAAUCGAGUGCGAGCUUGAAAAAAAGUUUGUGACGAUUUUGAAUCAAGUUAAUUUUUAUCGAAUCGAGCCGAGCUGAGCUAAGUUCGACUCAGCUCGACUCAUUUCCAGCCAUAGUCCUUGCCAACUGAGCUAAGCUCACGAGCACAAUCUCCAACACUCGGUGCAUUUAAAAUGGUAAAAUUUUAUGAAAAUUUGUUAUUUAUUGCAUUGAAAAUUAAAGUCUUUAACUUUUUAAAAUAUAAUUUUUUAAUUAAAAAUUCUUACAAAUAGGUAAGAUGUACUCAUUAUCAAGACUCUAUAUUCCCUCAAAAAAAAAAAAUCAAGACUCUAUAUUUUCUUUAAAAAUAAAUAAAUCAAAACUCUACAUUUAAAUACUACAGUUACAUAGCCUUAAUAAAACCCAGAUCGUUUAUGUGUUGGCAGACGAUUCAUACGCCUACCUUGAUACUCUAACCACUCACUCUGCAUUUUUUUUUGCAGUUCGGUUUCGUAUCCACACGUGGGUUCGCUGGGCUGUCCGUAGUAGUGUUGUUUAUAAUUGUUUUUUCUUCCACUUGUGUACUAUUUUGUUGUAUCACCCUUUAGGGUUUGAGUUGUGGUUAUCUAGGUCAAGUUCAUGCCCCCAAUCAUGUAUUUCCUUUUUAUUUUAAUUCAAUUUCUUCUUUGCUUAAAAAAAAACAUAAUUUAAAAGGAAAAAAAAACAUUUACCAAGAGACGAUACCUAAUUACACACCAUUCCAGUGGCCCGCUUGGUAAACUCCCUCGCGGAUUGGGGAUGAAAUCACAUGUUUAUGAAGAACCAUAUCUUUUUUUUGAACAAGGAAAAAUGGAAUAUUUUAGAAACACAAAAGGAUCCUCAAGCACAAGGGGUGCUCAAGAAUCCUCAAAAGUACAAAGUACACAAUACAGAGUCCAAAAAACGAGUACACAAAAACAAGCUAACAAAUGGCCAAACAAACAAAAGGGCUAGAACACCACAUAUGAAAAUUAGGCUGAAUGGAAAUAUUAGUAGCCUUCAUCCACCAGAAAGAAUGCAAUUUAACUUUCUCUACCAACUGAUGGAUGGUACUCUCCUUGUUUUUGAAGACCCGACUGUUUCUUUCAUUCCAUAUAACGUACACAUAACACAUCCAAAUAAGCUGCAUAAAAGAUCAACAAGCAUGCGAUCCACCUGCUGAAUAAACAAACUAAUAAAAAUGAGCUGACACACCAAACGGUUUCGGCUGUAGAUACGCCUAGCCAAUACCGAAUCUUGCCCCACAAAGCUGGAAAAAAUGGAAACGAAAGUAACAAAUGUUGAUUAGCGUGAGGGAGAAAACCACGAAGUAACAAAUUAUCCUUCGUAGGUAACCUAUUUCGAAGAAGCCGCUACACUAGAAUAGACACCUUCAAAGGAACCUGUAUAUGCCAAAUUAAAUCAGAAAACGUCUGGUGUCUGAACGACCUGAUUGAUAAGCAUUUGGUAAACACCACGGACUGAGUAACCACUCGACGGAUCAAGCCUGCACAGCCACCUAUAUGUAGAAUUUUGCUGCAAAGAAAUGUCAAAUAAUAAAAUCCUACACUCCCCUAACAACUUCUCCUUCCAAGCCCACAACUGCCGGCGCCAUUGCCACCCCGACCCACCUUCCUCACAGCCCAACAAAAUCAUCUCCGCCAUUGAAAUAGACUUAUGCAAAGCUAAGUCGAAGAGACGUUUAAACUGCACACACAAAGGCGGAGAUCCCACCCAAUGCACCACCUACUUCACCUAACCCAUCUCGAAUACUCGCUACCUCCUUCCACCACAAAGAACCACUCCGGCACCCAAUCUCCAACCUCCCAUCCACCUCACCGUAACGAGUUGUCAACACCCUAUACCACAUACCUCCUCUUUCAACUAAUAGCCUCCAACACAACUUACCUAAUAGAGCAAUAUUAAACUCUCUCAUCCUCCUCAGCCCCAAACCUCCAUAAUCUUUUAAUAAACAAAUAUUAUUCCAACCAACCCAUGAAACUUUUCUAAUAUCCUCACUCCCACCCCAAAAAAAUUAUAAAUAAAGAUUCAAGGGCAUAAAUUAUAUCUGAUGGGGCUUUGAAGAAGGAAAGAGCACACACAGGAAGAGAGGACAUAACAGACUUGAGGAGAACAAGAUGACCACCAAAUGAAAGAAAUUUACUUCGCCAACCAGAUAGUCUCUUUUUAAUUCUUAAUGAAUAUGGUUUCCAAAAUAACAAGCACGUCGGAUCACCCCCAAUCGGGAGACCCAAAUACACAAAAGGAGCCUUCUCCACGUUGCAACUCAGUACUGACGCUGCUUCAUUCAACAAAAGAACCAUAUUUUAUCUUCCAAUCUUUUUUAAAAAAGAAAAUCUUAUCUUCCAAUAUUUAAAAAAAAAAAAACUUAUCAUCCAAGAAAACUAUUAAUUUUUGGGUUUUUUUUAUAUGCAUUAUUUUAUUACAAAAUCUGUUUUCAACACAGAAAUUGUUUAUAUGGUAAACACUCCACAUCACCUGCAUUUAAUUGUGAUAUCACUGAUCUAUACAUUUUUCGAUCAUUAUUAUAAGUAAAAUUUAACAUUUUAAGUUUAUUCAAUAAAUGAUGUAUGCGGUCUAUAUUAAAGACCACAUAUAUUAUUUAUUGAAUGAAUCUAAGAUGUCAAUUUUUACUUAUAAUGGUGACCAAAUGAUGUAAUCAUUUAUAUAUAAAACGAGUAUUGUUGUUCACACAUUUGGUUUGGCUGAGAAACACGAGUAAUUUAUCCAAAUACCUUUCGGCAGUUAACUGUCGAAAUUUUAAAGAACCGGCUGCAGUUAACUGCCGAGGAAAAUUUCAGCAGUUAACUGCCGAGGAAUUUCAAACCUGAAAUUAAAUAAGAAAAUACACCUAAAUUUUUCCUUAAUUAAAUUUAAUUCUUUACUACAUGAUUCUUUUUAUAACGUUGUUGAUUUCAUUCAUAUAAUUUUGUUGCCAUAAAUGAAGAAAUAUGAGAUCCUAGAAUUACAUAUUCGAUCACGUUUCUUACUAGUAAUAGAAAAGAGGUUUUAUUUCUACAAAAAAAAAAAAGAGGUUUUAUUAAUAGAAUAAUUACAAAUAUAAUUAUUUGAAAGAGAGAUGAAUAAUAUCUAAAAUAUUAUAAAGUAAUAAUAGGUUAGUCAAACCUAUGAAUAAUGACAGACAUCAAUGAAAUUAAUUACAAAUAUAAUUAUUCUAUCAUUUAUAAUGUUUUUUGUUGUUGCAUUUUUUUUUUAUUGAAUCACCAUUUUAGGUCCAUUAAUUUUCGAUGGCAAACAUUUUUAUUUUUUGUUGUUGCGUUUUUCAUGUUAAUUAAAGUAAUAAUAUCUGAAAUAUUAGUAUAAAAUAAUAAUAGGUUAGUCAAACCUAUGAAUAAUGAUAGACAUCAAUGAAAUUAAUUAUUAAUAAUUAAAAAUAUAAUUAUUCUAUCAUUUGUAACGUUUUUGUUGUUGCAUUUUUUUAUUGAAUUAUCAUUUUAGGUCCAUUAACUACCGAUUGCAGAUAUUAUUCAUCUCUCAUAUUUCUUCAUUUAUGGCAACAAAAUCAUAUGAAUGAAAUCAUAAAAAUAAUUAUGUUUAAUUUCUUAAAAAGGAUUAAAGAAUUAAAUUUAAUUAAGGAAAAUUUAGGUGUAUUUCCUUAUUUAAUUUAAGGUUUGAAAUUCAUCAGCAGUUAACUGCCGAAGUUUUCCUCAGCAGUUAACUGCAGCCGGUUCUUUAAAAUUUCGACAGUUAACUGCCGAGGGACAUUUGAGUAAUUUACUCGUGUUUCUCAGCCAAACCAAAUGUCAACAACAAUACUCAUAUAAAACAAUUAGUAAACCUAGAAAAACAAAUAAAUAAACUAAAUAUUACGGAGGGCUUUAUCGAACCACUUGUUUUGAACUCCCAUUCUAAAAUAUUGUCAUAUUUUCCUGCGGUGACUACUGUUCUUACAAUCAAAUUCACUUCGGUUCUAGAUUCUUCAACCUAUCAAAAUAUGUACAAACAAAAAAUAAAUAAAAAUAGAACAACUAGUUACAAAUAGAUUAAUUAAAUAAUUGAAUUAGUUGGUUGCAGUAAAAACUCUUACGAAUUCAUUAGGAAUGUCAGUUUCAGUGUGACGCCACAUGAUAUUACCAUAUUGUUCAAACAGACAAAUUGCAUUCUUCAAUAGGCUUGGUGUACCAUCAGCCGAGUGAAUGUAUGUAUGUAUGAAUGAACUGAGCAUGUGGUGGACAAUCACGAUUAGGUAUCAAAGACACCGUUGACAGGGCAAAUCCAAACUCUCCAGAAUCAAAGAAAGUCUUAAAGUAAAAUUCUUCGGUUGGGUCUUGAUAAGGCACAAAUAGCUCGGAAAUGUAGCUUUGUAGAGUACACGACGAAACUUGUGUUUCUCUAUAUCGUAAAUAUGUAAGUGAUAUCACUAUACUAGCUCGUACAGUAAAUCUUAUAUGAAAUUUCCAGGUGGCCCAGCUGAACAAUCACACUUUCAGAUAUUAUUUCUCAAGCAAUGAGCGAAACACACACAUAUCUCUUAUUUUUUAAAGUUAAUCCGAACGCAAAAUUUUGCCCUAGAUUUAACCUAACUUCUUUGCUUAGUUUUAUUAUUUUAACCCUAUUUAAUCAACCCUAAUUAAUUACAUCUCUUCUCUUAUUCCUUAAAGUUAACCCGAAUGCAAAAUGUUGCCCUAAAUUUAACCUAACUUUAAUGAUUAAUUAUACUGUAUUAGCCCUAUUUAAUUAACCCUAUUUAAUUUAAUCAAAAUGUUAUUUUCAAAUGCUUCUCAAAUCAAAAACAAUAGAUCACUCCUAAAUCCAAUCCAAUCCUUUUUUGCUCCUUUUUUUUUUAUUAAAAACAAAAGAAAAUCAUCCCCUAUUUUUUUAUGAAACCUAAACUAAACUAAUUACCCUAUUUUUUUAUGAAAAAUAAAAUAAACCUAUUUUUUUGAUUAAAAACAAAAGGAAGUCGUCCCCUAUCUCUUAUUUCUAAAUGUUAACCCGUGACGCAAUAUUAACCCUAGAUUUAACCUAAUUUUUUCGCGUGACUUUACUAUACGAAUCUUAGAUUUAAUUUAUGCAAAAUGUCAUCUCUUAUUUUUAAAUGUUAACUCGUGACGCAAUAUUAACCCUAGAUUUAACCUAAUUUUUUCGUGUGACUUUACUAUAUUAACCCUAGAUUUAAUUUAUGCAAAAUGUCAUCUCUUAUUUCUAAAUGUUAACCCGUGACGUAAUAUUAGCCCUAGAUUUAACAUAUUUUUUCGCGUGACUUUACUAUAUUAACCCUAGAUUUAAUUUAUGCAAAAUGUCAUCUCUAAUUUUAACCUAAUUUUUUUUGCUUGUUCAAAAAAAAAAAAAUUUAACCUAAUUUUUUCCUCCACGCUUUUGCAUUUAAUGUUUAUCUAAAGUAAAAUAAAAUUAUGUUCUCAAUUAUAUGCUGUUUUUUUGGAAAGGAAUAACCGUUAACCCAUCUCGCUAUACUUAACAUAAUCUCUUACUUAUAAAUGUUAACCCGUCUUGAUAUACUUAACCUAUUAUGUUACGUUACGCUAUCAAGGAUGAUGUCAUGGAAAAUUAUGUUAUGGUACAGUACCAACGUCUAUGCUUCUUAAUAUUAUGAAAUACUAUAUGACAAUCAUGAAAUUCAUCGUUACCUAUUACCGUCAAAUAUUACCUUCCAUAAGUCAGUUGCCACAUACGCUAAGUCGGUUGCCACAUACGCAUUGACUUAGUCAAAAUUGAGGGAUGGGACCACUUUCGCAAAAGGGCUAAACUUAAGAGUUAAAUUAUCAAUUUUUUAUAGGGGUCAAAAUCGCAAUAUUUUAAAACAUAAAAGGAGGAAAACUGCAUUUAUGCCUAAUAUAAAUUUAUUUGCAUACGUUCUAAAUAAAUCAUAUUUAGAUCGUUUGAUCAAAAUCAAUGGUCCUGAUUUCAAGUUCUUUAUUUUACUUAGAGAUAGAAAAAGUGGAUCUCGAUUAAAAGAUCGGAUGGUCCACAUAUGUCACAAAAUCCAAAUCCAGUUAAUACCCGUUAGUGUACUAUUUAGUAGAUUUACCAUAUAUAUAUAUGGUAUCAGAUUAUUUCUAACUAUCAUAUCCAGAGAUUUGCGGUAUAUCUUUGUCGUCUAACUAUAUACUCAUGGGAAAUGCUAACUUGUGCCUAAGGGCACAAGUUAAUGAGUCUAAAGUGAAAAUAUUUUGUUAUAAUAAAUGUAUUUAAAUUUAAUUUUUUCAUUUUUAAUUAAUUGAAUGCGCAAAAUUUAAGAUAAUAUUUCUACUUUAGGUUGCAAAUGCUACUUAUCUGCCGAAUAGAAACCCAACAAAUAAGCUUUCAAGGAAUCAAGCCAUAUUAUUUGGAUCAGUUAGCUACAAAUAUGUUCCAAAUCAACUUAGAAUGCAAAUUGGUGACAAAGGAGAACAAAUCAUCUUGGUUGACUCCUUAUAUGUAGACUAUUUGACCUUGUUGAUGAAAUUAAGGAGUCGGGCUAGAAGACAAAAUAUAAGAAUAGAAAUGAUCCAUAGUUAACUAUGACAAUGGUGACAACAAUGUGUCAAGAAGAUAUUAGGGAGCUAGAAACUCUCAAAGACAAAGACUUUAACCUCAAAGGCUACAAGAAUGUGAGAUGGUCUCAAAUAACUAAUGAGCCAAUAAGUUUUGAAUGUCCCAUGAAAUACUCAUGGUAGGUUUAUGCUAUGAAGGAAGAAUUUUAUUCAACUGAGAAAAGUCAAACAUGGGAGCUAGUUGGUUUACCAACCAAAAAUAAAGCAAUAAGUGUGAAGUGGGUGUAUAUAUAAAGUGAAACUAAAUUCAAGUGGAGAAGUGAUCAAUACAAGGCCAGACUUGUAGUUAAAGUAUUCCUACAAAGACCUAGAAUAGACUUUGAUGAAGUUUUUGCACCAAUUGCUAUAAAAUAAUUGAAACUAUAAGGAUGGUAGUUGCUAUUAAAGAUUUGAAACAGGGGCACAUAUACCAAUUGGAUGUGAAAUCAGCAUUCUUUGAAUGGACCUAUUGAUAAGGAGGUAUAUAUGUUUAGCAGACACCAUGAUUUGAGAUAAGAAAUCAAAGAGGGAAAGGUGUACAAUUUGAAUGAGACUCUAAAUUGGCUCAAGCAGUCCCCAAGAAUCAAGAUCAUGGUGUUUAAUUAUGUGAAGAUAAUUUUAAAAAUAGGUUUAAUCAUUUUGUGGUUAUAUGUAGAAUGAUUGUAGAUAAUCUAUUAAUAACUAGAGACGAUUAAUUCAAUUUUAAAGAAUUUAAGAGAAGCAUGAUGAGUAAAUUUCAUAUGGCUGAUUUGCGACAAUUUUCUUAUUUUAUGAGAAUCGAGUUCCAAAAGACAAACUUUGAAAUGCUAGUCCAUCAAGCCAAAUAUGCUAGAGAGAUAUUGAAGAAAUUUGAGAUGGGCAAUUGUUACUCAACUGCCACUCCAGUAGAAACAGACAUACAUUUGGUGAAGGAAAGGUGGAUUCCACUCAAUUCAGAGUGGUGAUGAUAGGAUGCUUGUAGGUGAGCAAAGUUAACCAAAAACCAAUCUGAACCAAUUAACCGAAUCGAACCAUAUUAAAAUUAACCAAACCAUUGCAUUGGUUAACCGAAUUGAACUGUUAUUUGAAGAUGGUUUACUAACCGAACCGAACUUUUAUUAGAUUCAAUUAACUGGUAUUAACAAAACCAUUACAAUUUACAACUCAAUCAAUCAGUUAUCACACAAAACUUCUUUUCACACAAUGACACAAAACGUGAACUGAACCCUUUUCUAAACCCUAAUUUCAAUUUCAAUUUCAAUUUCAAAACCCUAAUUUCUCCUCUUCAGGGACCAGUGAUGUUGAUAUAGAAGCUUUCUUCACCUCACACAAUUCACUCUUCUGCGAUUAAUCCAUGAAAUAGACUAAAAAAAUGCCACGAUUAAUCCAUGAAAUGGCCGGUCUUCACCUCUUCAGAGACCAUUUUUUAGCCAAUUCAUUUUUUUCUGCGAUCUUCACCUCUUCUUCGAACUCUUAUGCGAACUAUUCACCUAAGGUACAAAUUAGUUUAUGGGUAUGAUUUGUUUUGAGUUUUGUUUUUGGUAUUAUUUUUGUUUCUAGGUAUGAUUGAUUUUGGUUUGUGGGCAUGUUUUUGUUUCUGGCAUGUUUGUGUGAUUAUAUGAUGAGUGUUAAUUUGUUAGUGAUUGUUGCAAAGUGACGUGUGAAAUAUUUGGACUCUUAGAAGCUUUUUUUUAGCUCAUUUCUAUAACUUCUAUUCAUUUGUGUUCUCUACUGUGGAGUUUUUUGGUAGGAUGGUGAAUCUUUUGUAACUUUGUUAUUACUGUUGUCCUGUGAAGUCUUGACCAAGAAGAAUGGUAACAUCUUGUGAUGUAAUUGACUGUUAGUAGAGUAACAUCUUGAUUGAAUGGUAAAGUUUGGAGGAAAUCAAAGCUAUGACAGGGUCAGAUUUAAAGCCUUUGCUAAUCAAAUUUAUUGGAACAAAAAAUGCUUGUGAUCACUAAACUAGUUUUAGAUUGAAUCAGUAUGUUUCAAUGGAUCGUGUGUAUCAUCCAUUAGCAAAAUGUUGAUAUUGUGACGUUGCUGCUGAUAAACGUUUUCUAGUUAAAGCUAGGGACAUAUGUCUUUAGAGAAUUUAACUUGAGAUCUUUGUUUUCAAAUAUGUCAUACUAAUUUUCUGCACUAGGGAUAUCACUUCAAUUCAUUGAUUUUGUUCUUCCUCAUGCAUUUAUCGUUGUUAUUAUGGACAAAACAGGGCACAAGUUUUGCAUGCACAUUGGUUGGCUCUAGAGUCUAGAUAGAAUUUAUUAGUAUAACUCGUAAGAAACAACAAGUAUGUUGCUAUAGAUCCUUGUCAGUUUAUAAUAAUAGUUUGUGAAUAUUUUGUGUGAUGGCUUGGCUUCUUAGCUUGUUUACAUUACUAAGAUAACUUAUAUGGAUUUCUUUGUCAAAUCUUGUCUUAGUAUCAUUGUGCAAAGUGAUGAGUUCUUUGUCAAUCUUGUCUUAAUAUAUAUCUUUUUUUUUUUUGUAGAGAUAACAUCUCAAGAAUCAGAUCACUUAGAUGAUAUAAAUUGAAAACCAUCCACUUAAAUCAUAAAGGUAGAUAAAUAUGUUUGGUUAAUAUAUAUCUUUGGUGCAUUAUAGUGUCCCUAGGUUGUCUUGAGCUGUUUCUAUUUUGAAGCUAGUUUGUUUAGUAUUUUGGCCUCUGUCUUUAGUGUAAGAUGUUGUCUUGGGCAUUAUAGUGUCCUUAUAGCAUACGACCAUUUGGGUUUUGUGGAAGGCGAGGAAUGAGAGAAUUAAUACUAAACAAAUGAGAGAAUUUCAGCUGUUUGGUGUAGUGGUAGUGCUGCCACUGUGUUGGGGACAGGUUUGAGUGUUGAUCUGCAACAACUUGUUUUUCAGAUGCUGUUUUGGUGUAGGCUGCUGCUGUCACGGUUCUGCAGGGGGAAUUUUUGAUUUAAUCGUACAUUUAUAUUGCUUUUGGCUCUGUCAAUUAAAUUAAUCUGUGUUAUCAUCCUUGUUGCUGGUUGAUGUUGAGGUAUUGAUGAAUGGUCUGGUCAAUAUGCUCCACAUUUGUGGUACUAAUGAUAUAAGAGUCUCUUACUACUAUGAAAAUGAAAUAUAUUUGAUGUUUAAUCCCAUAAAUUUUGUUUGAUCCCUCUACUUCUAGCUGCAGCAGUACAGUUAAUCUCAUAAUAUAUUUGAUGUGUAAAAUACUAAUUCACAUCAAUUUAUGUCUUUUUGUUUUGUAGGUCAAUACCAUAUGAAUUCAUAAAGACAAAGAUCUAUUCGGACUUCAAAGUUGAAGUUAUUAGCUACUUGUUGAGAGAAGAUGUCAGUUAUUAUAAACAUUUAGCUUUAUUUUGUUUUGCUAUUGUAAUAGUUUUAUUUGGAAGGAUGUUGACCCUAUUUACUUAUGCAAGUAUGAUGUAUUGAGAGUAAGUAAGGAAUGAUUGUGCAUCUUUAUACUUCAAACUGAAGUUGAUUUUAUUGUUACUUAAGGAUUAAGCUCUUGUGAAUUAUGUGCUCUUAUGUUGAUGUCAACUGUACAAAAGAGAUACUCUAUUGCAUUUUUUGAAAUUUAUCAAUGGAUUGCACCUAAUAAUUUAGGGGGACUAAUACCUCAAAUUCGUCCUUGAAUUUUCAAAAAUCAGCCAAAUUUAUCCCUGAAUUUUGCAAAAUAUAUAUUUAGUUCCUGAAUUUUAUAGACGUCCAUCAAAAUGGUCCCUUCGUCCAAAAGCUCUGUUGGUGGUGAUGAUGUGUCCUCUUGCAUGUUGUGUUGUCAUGUACAUGUGUUAACAAGGCAGCCACGUGUACAAGGACUAAAUUGAUGGAAAUGGUAAAAAUUGUAGUGUUAACUUUUCAGUGUCAUUUUUUUGUGUUUCCAAUUGCUUUUGUGUUUCUAACUUCUCCAAUGGCCACCAUGUUCUAACAUCUGUAAGUUGUAUUUACAAACUUUCCUAUAGUUGCUCAAUCGAUAAUCAUGACAAUAUCAUAACUUUCCACUUUAGUAGAUCAUGCUCAACCAUAAAAACAAAUAGUGCAGUUUAUCAAGGAAUAGUAGCAACACGAAGGCACGGUAGUCAGUAAAGCAAAAAUCAACUCGCAAAAUAAACCUGCCAUUCAUUCAUUCAUUCAACAUACAACAAACAAAAACAAACAAACAAACAAACAUUUAUUCAUGGUUCCACCACCAAUGCAUAUAAAUUGCACAGACUAGCUAGUUUUACUUGGAGCAACCAGGCCAUGCAACAUCUCUUGGAGAAAGUGUUUUAAGGACUGGAUUUCUCUCAAAGAAAUUCGUUGGUCUCAGCUCAAAUGAAGUGCUCAAUAGUGGCAUUAUUGGGAAAUCUUCUUGUGCUGGAACAUGAUGAAUUCCAACUACAUGCCACAUCACAAUGUCCUUGUUCACAAUGUCUCUAUUCCUGCAAAAAUUCCAAAUUAAUUAGUAUAAUAAUCAACUUACCAAGAUCAAUUAUUAGCAAAUGUACAAAUCAAAUAAAAAAAAUCAUACUUUUUGGUCCAAACAGCUAAUGUGUCUUCUCCACGGCUAUGAUCAACAUAUAGUCCACCAGCCCAUUUUUCAGUUCUAUUAUAAGGUGUGACCCAAACAUUAUAAUUAGUAAAUGCACCACGUAUUUGUGGAUAAUCAUCUUCGGUUAGAAGUGGAUGAGCUGGAAUUGCUGGGAUCAAACGGUAUCCGACGUCGUUUCCAACGAUAGUUUUUUUGUUUGGAUUGACAAUUGCAAGUUCACCUGGGGCAAGCCCUAGAGUAAUUUUUGCAUCUGAUUCAGUCUUAGCAAUUUGAGUCUCAGUGGUCCAAUAACUCUUUCUCUUUGAACUUCCAUCGGUGAUUUUUACGGUUUUUAAACUUGUUUUCUCAAAUGAAUUUUGAACACCGUCGAUAUCAAAAUCAAGAUAGUACAUGUAGAAAUGGUCAUGGUAAAUACCAAUGCUGUUUGCUGAUACCAAUUUGCCAUGUAAAUCUUCUUUAAUCUCAUCCUUGUGCUUGAUAUUUGUUCCCUUGAUUUCCAAUAUACCCGACAGUGCUAUCUGUGUACAUACAUACAUACAUACAUAAAUUUUGAAAAAUCAAUUAGAGUUAUUUCAGGCCAAGGACAUGACAAUUGACAAGUGAAGUGGGACAGUUGUUGUCUUGGCGGUAUAUGCUAAAUAUAGUAAUACACAUGUUUUCUUUUUUCUUUCAGUUUAAAUAAAAAUAGUAAGUAACCUGUAACCCAAAGUGAAGUGGGACUUUUUUUUUACAAUAAACCAAAAGAGACUUUCAAAUCGUUUAAAUAAAUUUGUCAGCUAUCCAGCAAGGAAGUUACACACCUAGGACAAAUUUUAAAUUCAGACUUAACAUUUAAUUUGUCCAAUGCUUAAUUUGUUAAAGUAAGUUUUGACUUUUCAAAGGUUUGUUAUGACUUGUUAGUUGAUUUAAAAACUCAUUUAAUAUUAUUGUGUCUAAGCAAAUAGUAUAUGUUUAAAUCGACUAACAAACAAAUAGACCAAUAAAACAAAUUGGAUUCUCUUUUGUUAUUUAACAAGACAUUUUAGAAAAUUUGAAUAUGUGAUAUCAUAUUUUAAUUUAAAUUUAAAUUUAUGCAAGUCGAAUUAAAUAUCUAGAUCCUUGCCUUAAGAAAAUCCAAAAAUACCAAGAGACAAGAUAUAUAAUUGCACAGUGUUUUAGUGACCCGCUUGGUAAAUUCCCUCGAAGAUUGGAAAUGAAAUGAACGUGUUUAUGAAGAACCAUAUCUUAUCUCUUUUCAAAAAAAGAAAAUCUUAUCUUCCAGUAACACUCUACGAAUUUUUUUAUAUGUAUUAUUUUAUUACAAAAUCUGUUUUGUAAUUAUUAAUAUAGUAAAUACUCCAUAUUACUUACAUUUAAUUGUGAGAUCACUUACACUUACGUAUAAUUAUCUAUAUAAAACAUUUAGUAAACAUGGAGUAACAAAUAAACAAAACUAAAUACUUACAGCAGGCUUGAUAGAACCACUUGCUUUGAACUCCCAAUCUAAAACAUUGUCGUAGUUUCCCACGGUGACUACUGUUCUUACAAUCAAAUUCACUUCGGUUCUAGAUUCUUCGACCUGUCAGUAGAUGUACAAACAAAAAAUCAAUAAAUAAAUAAAAAUAGAAUAAUUAGUUAAAUUAGUUGGUUGCAGGAAAAACUCUUACGAAUUCAUUAGGAAUGCCAGUUUCAGUGUGACGCCACAUGAUAUUACCAUAUUGUUCAAACACACAAAUUGCAUUCUUCAAUAGGCUUGGUGUACCAUCAGCCGAGUGAAUGUAUGUAUCAAUGAACUGAGCAUGUGGUGGACAAUCACGAUUAGGUAUCAAAGACACCGUUGACAGACCAAAUCCAAACUCUCCAGAAUCAAAGAAAGUCUUAAAGUAAAACUCUUCGGUUGGGUCUUGAUAAGGCACAAAUAGCUCGGAAAUGUAGCCUUUGUAGAGUACACGGCGAGACUUAUGUUUCUCUAGAUCGUAAAUAGAUGCAAGUGAUAUCACUAUACCAGCUCGUACAUCAAAUCCUAUAUGAAACUUCCAGUUGGCCCAGCUGAAAAAUCAUACGCAGGUAUUAUUUCUCAAAUAAUUGGACGAAAUACAUACAAAUCGAUAUUUUAAAUGGGCAAGAAUAAAGCUAGUAACUUAUUCCCUAAAAAAAUUCAAGUUAGUAACUUAUUACGCAAAUUGAAUAUUAUUUUUAGAAAAUAUGUAAAUUGAAUCUUCCCUAUCAAUACUCCUUUUAAUCAUUUUAAUAAGAGACAAUAGGUCAACAAAAAUUGAUAUAUAAUUUUGUCUAUAUUUUGAACUAAAUACAUCAAUUUUUGUUGACUCAUUUAUCUCUUAUAAAAAGGACUAGAAGGAGUACUAAAUAAUUAAUGCAUAUAUGUAAACAAAAAAAAAUGUAUAUGCCAUUGGAGAAGUUAUACAAAUCUAUCUGUAUACAUUUUCAAUAAAUCACAUUUAGAUCGUCUGAUAAAAAUCAAUUUCAAGUUUUUUAUUUUAUUUAGAGAUAGAAAAACUGGAUCUCAAUUAAAAGAUUAGAUGGUCCACAUCCACAUAUGUCACAAAAUCCAAAUCCAGUUAAUACCCAUCCGUGUACUAUUUAGUAGAUUUACCAAUUAAGAAUAAGGAAACCAUUGUAAUAUAAAUAAAGGAAACAGACACCCAAAAAAGGAAAGUAAAGGAUCAAGAACAUUAUUACCUAACACUGUGACCAUUGAUCUGAAAGCCAGGACCUUGAGGUUGAUAACUAGCAAGACUAUGCUGUUUUGGUCCAAAUGGUGGACUUUGUUUUGAAACCCUGUAAUCAGUAUUCUCAGCAGUAGGCACUGCUUCAACAUCUCUAUCAUGGUACUCAACAAUUUUCAUUAGACUAAGAUCAGCCACCAUGGUGAUUCCAGUAAUAGGCCUAACAUAUAUAUUAACAGUACUUUCUUUCAUAAAACAGUCAACUCUCACAGUCCUUCUAUUCUCUUUUUCUCCAAACCAUCCCAUAGUGAAACUAGAACAAACCACCUCAGAGAGAUUCAAACCUCUCUUUUGCACUGAGGCAAUAAAAGGAGGAUAUUUCUUUGGAAGUUCUAUUGCAAUGGCUUGUUCAUCAACGGUUAGUGUAGGGAAACCAUUCCCUUUGUAAACAUUGUCAUAGACAAUUCUCUUCAACCUUAAAUCUAUUAGUAUCUCAUGGUUUUGGCCAUUGAUGAUAGCAAUGAUAAAGGCUUUACGAGGGAUAGUUAUAACACUUGGUUUCAAAGUUUCCCAUUUGAGAAUAGCAUCUUUUUCAGGGUCAUCAAGACCAAUAUAGUGGAAAGAUACUGUGUUCUUUGAGGUGGGAUAUUUGUUAUGGACUAGGGUUUGGACAGUCAGAAACUCUUCUUUGGUUAAAGGAUCAAGUGGAUGUUGAAAAUGCAAUGGUGUAACAGAGAACACUGAUUGGAAUGAGAGGAGUGUGAGUGCAGAGAAAAGAACAAGUUUCAUGGUGGUGGAAAAAGCCAUGGUGAGCUAUAACAAGCUUCACUAUGUCUUGGUGUUUGUUGUGUGAA
RNAcentral lists this long non-coding RNA (25795 nucleotides) under Medicago truncatula (barrel medic). Its description in RNAcentral is "long non-coding RNA (MTRU_LNC002492)". The stretch from base 3757 to 3868 matches the Rfam family "MIR2593 microRNA precursor family". Lineage: Eukaryota; Viridiplantae; Streptophyta; Magnoliopsida; Fabales; Fabaceae. The record is from RNAcentral.